Molecule: ribosomal RNA, 410 nt
Filed under: uncultured microorganism
Description: bacterial SSU rRNA
Rfam family: Archaeal small subunit ribosomal RNA
Source: RNAcentral
GUGCAGCAGGCGAGAAUAGUCUACAAUGUGCGAAAGCACGAUAAGGGAACUCUGAGUGCCUCCUAAGGAGGCUGUUCUGAUGUCUAAAACGCAACAGAAGUAAGGGCUGGGUAAGACCGGUGCCAGCCGCCGCGGUAACACCGGCAGCCCAAGUGGUAGCCACGUUUAUUGGGUCUAAAGCGUUCGUAGCCGGCCAGGUAAGUUCCUUGGUAAAUUUAGCCGCUUAACGGUUAAGCUUUCAGGGAAUACUGCUUGGCUUGGGACUGGGAGAGGUCAGAGGUACUCCGGGGGUAGGGGUGAAAUCUAUUAAUCCCUGGGGGACCACCGGUAGCGAAGGCGUCUGACCAGACCAGGUCCGACGGUGAGGGACGAAGGCUAGGGGCGCGAACCGGAUUAGAUACCCCUGUAGU